GAUGAACGCUGGCGGCGUGCCUAAUACAUGCAAGUCGAGCGAACAGACGAGGAGCUUGCUCCUUCGACGUUAGCGGCGGACGGGUGAGUAACACGUAGGUAACCUACCUAUAAGACUGGGAUAACUUCGGGAAACCGGAGCUAAUACCGGAUAAUAUUUCGAACCGCAUGGUUCGAUAGUGAAAGAUGGCUUUGCUAUCACUUAUAGAUGGACCUGCGCCGUAUUAGCUAGUUGGUAAGGUAACGGCUUACCAAGGCAACGAUACGUAGCCGACCUGAGAGGGUGAUCGGACACACUGGAACUGAGACACGGUCCAGACUCCUACGGGAGGCAGCAGUAGGGAAUCUUCCGCAAUGGGCGAAAGCCUGACGGAGCAACGCCGCGUGAGUGAUGAAGGUCUUCGGAUCGUAAAACUCUGUUAUUAGGGAAGAACAAACGUGUAAGUAACUGUGCACGUCUUGACGGUACCUAAUCAGAAAGCCACGGCUAACUACGUG
Molecule: ribosomal RNA, 497 nt
Filed under: uncultured bacterium
Lineage: Bacteria
Description: partial 16S ribosomal RNA
Rfam family: Bacterial small subunit ribosomal RNA
Source: RNAcentral